Molecule: ribosomal RNA, 1048 nt
Filed under: Nanosesarma minutum
Lineage: Eukaryota; Metazoa; Arthropoda; Malacostraca; Decapoda; Sesarmidae
Description: bacterial SSU rRNA
Rfam family: Eukaryotic small subunit ribosomal RNA
Source: RNAcentral
GGGGUCUGGAUUAAGCCAUGCAUGUCUAAGUACAAGCCGACUUAAGGCGAAACCGCGAAUGGCUCAUUAAAUCAGCUAUGAUUCAUUGGAUCUGUACCCACACUUACUUGGAUAACUGUGGUAAUUCUAGAGCUAAUACAUGCACCACGUCUCUGACCGCAAGGGAAGAGCGCUUUUAUUAGUUCAAAACCGGUCGGGCCUCGGUCCGUCACCCCACCGUGUUGAAUCUGAAUAACUUGUCGCUGAGCGCACGGUCUCUGCACCGGCGCCGCCUCUUUCAAGUGUCUGCCUUAUCAGCUUUCGAUUGUAGGUUAUACGCCUACAAUGGCUAUAACGGGUAACGGGGAAUCAGGGUUCGAUUCCGGAGAGGGAGCCUGAGAAACGGCUACCACAUCUAAGGAAGGCAGCAGGCACGCAAAUUACCCACUCCCGGCACGGGGAGGUAGUGACGAAAAAUAACGAUGCGAGACUCAUCCGAGGCCUCGCAAUCGGAAUGAGUACACUUUAAAUCCUUUAACGAGGAUCUAUUGGAGGGCAAGUCUGGUGCCAGCAGCCGCGGUAAUUCCAGCUCCAAUAGCGUAUAUUAAAGUUGUUGCGGUUAAAAAGCUCGUAGUUGGAUUUCAGUUCUGGACUGACGGUUCACCGCCCGGUGCACACUGUCACGCUCCGAACAGCCACAACAGCCCGCUGGCUCGCACGGGGUGCUCUUCAUCGAGUGUCCCGCGUGGCCGGCAGAGUUUACUUUGAAAAAAUUAGAGUGCUCAAAGCAGGCUACACUUACUGGCCCGAAUGCCUAUGCCAUGGGAAUAAUGGGAAUAGGAACCUCCGUUUCUAUUUUUGUUCGGGUUUUCUGAAACCCGAAGUUAAUUGAACUAAAUAAGGGAGCAGGGGCGGGGGGGCAUUUCCGUUUUUUGGCGGACCGCUUUGAAGGUGGAAAUUUCUUUGGACCCGUCGCACGACCGAACUUACUGCCGAAAAGCAUUUUUGCUCAAGGGAAUGGUUUUUUCUUUUAUUCCAAGAAAACAAAAUAGAAGGGAAGGGUAGAGAG